UUGCUCUUCAUAUGGGUCAUAUUUUCUCUCUUUUCAUAUCUAGUAAUUUUUGAUUGGGUACCAGGCCUUAUAACUUUUUUAUUAUUGAGUAAUGGCCUUUUUUAAAUUCCUUCAAAUAUUUUGGAGUUUUGUUUUUGAAUGCAAUAUAAUUUGCUGUACCAACAUUUCUCAGUAGGAGGGUAUGGGUACUACUGGCAUUUUGAGCUUGACAAUUCUUCCUGUUGUGACUGUCAUGUGCUUUACAGGAUAUAUAGCAUUCUUGGUCCACGACUAUUAAAUACCAUAGGGCCCCAGUCAGUGUGACAAUCUGAAAUAUCCUCACAAAUUUCCAUAUCCUCCUUGAUAGACCACCUAAAGUCUGAAUUCCUACUUGUUUAUUUUUUCUUUUGUUUCCCUUGUCCGUGUAGACAUUGUAUUCAAAAAGAUCCUUCUAAGACCGAUGUCAGUAUACUGCUGAUGUUUUCUUCUAGUUUUAUGGUUUCAUGUCUUACUUUCAAGUCUUUAAUCUAUUUUGAGUUAAUUAUUUGUGUAUGUCUCUGGCCUAAUUUUAUUUUUUAAAAUUAUUUUAUUAUUUUCCUUUAAGAUUGGCACCUUAGCUAAUGACCGUUGCCAAUCUAUCUUGUUUUUUUUCCCUCCUUCUUCUCCCCAAAGCCCCCCAGUACAUAGUUGUAUAUUCUAGUUGUGCGUGCCUCUGGCUGUGCUAUGUGGGAUGCCGCCUCAUCAUGGCUUGAUGAGCAGUGCCAUGUCUGUGCCCAAGAUCUGAACUGGAGAAACCCUGGGCCACUGAAACAGAGUGCACAAACUUAACCACUUGGCCAUGGGGCAGCCCCCCUGGCCUAAUUUUAAAAUCUACAUGGAUGAUCCUAUUUCUUGUUUUUAUUUGAGAAUAAUUUCAGCUACAUAGAAACUCUCCUGAAGAGAUUCUAUCUAGUCAUUUCUCUCUAGGUAAUAUUUUUAUACAGAUGACCCCCAAAUUUGUCCUCUUGAUCAACACUUUGGCUUUUUAUACAGUUGAAAACUUCCACUGAGAGAACCCUAAUAAAUGUGAUAAUGGAAAGAUAUACCUCAUUAAAUAUUGGUGGCUCUUAGUAGGUUGAAUUGUGGUGAGCUUGACUUCAAAAUCAUCAAUAAGUUCACAUAGGAAAUAAAUUUUAGGAAGGCAGUUAAGUCAGGUCCCUAAGACCACCCUCACAUUUGUUUAUUCUCUAAAAGGACUCAUAAAACUCAUAAAAGCUGCUAUACUUAUGGUUACAGUUUAUUAUAGUGAAAAGCUAUAGGUUGAAAUUAGCAAAUGUAAAGGGUGCAUAGGACAGCGUCCAGAAGAAAAUGGCGCAUACUUCCAGUUUCCCUUUCUCAGUGGGCUUGUAUAGACAGUGCUUAAUUCUUCCAGCAAUCAUGUGACAACACAUAUGGAGUACUGGCAGCCAGGGAAGCUCACCUGAGCCUUUUUGCCCAGGGUUUUUACUGGGGGUUAGUUAUGUGGGCCUGGACUAACCACAUGACUCAACUGAACUUCUGACACUCCAGCCUCCUAAAGGUCAGAGUGAUACAGCACGGCCCAGAGCCCCAGGCAGACGAAAGCAGGUGUUCACCAAGAGUCGCAUUGCUACCUUAAACUAUAUGGCAUGGCCCCAACCCCAGGUAUACAAAAAUGCUCUUAUAAGAGGCUAGAGGUUACCUCCCAGGUACCAGACAAGGGCCAGUCCUUUCUUUGGAACGUGCAGGGUUUGAAUACCCCAAACCUGGUAAGUCAACCCUUUAUUACACAGCAGUGAAUAAAGCAAGGUUUUCAGCAACAUUCUGCCUCAUAAUUUUUCAGAAAUAAGAAAUGUGUAUUGGUACACUAAAUGCCAAAGCUGGCAUGGCAUAGUUUCUCUGACAAGCAUACCCUGGGAGAUAGUGAUGAUGAGAGCUGAGCAUUAGGCUGGUUUUACAGUAGCCAUGGGGGCGACUUCUUUGGUCAUCAUGGUAGUGCAUGCAUUUUGGGUUUACCUUGACCUUUUCCAUACAUUGUACUAAAGCAUCCACUUAAGUUUUUUCAUUUGUACCAGUCCUUCAAAUUUGUACUCAGAAAAAAAAAAGAUGGAAAGAUCCAAAGUUAUACUAGGAUACUAACACCAUUGACAAUACGCAAUCUUGUGGGAAGAGGGCCCUGGGUGAUAAGAAAAAUCUCACAAAUGUCACCCUAUUUUUUAUGUAGGAGUAAUUAGGUUACAAGUCACUGCUCCCCACUCAUUCAUUUGAAACUUUGUGCUUGCUUGAAGAGGACAAAUGACUGAUGCAAGUUCCUCAGGAGCCUGGAGAAGGAACCCCCAUGGAACUUUGUUUCCAGUCUCUGAGGAGAGCACAUGGCUGGCUGAUGGUAGAAUCCUUGAGGGUGUGUGAUGAAGAUGAUUCUGAGACUGUGGGCAGAAACUGAAAACUGCAGCCAAAUGUUUCCUUUGCAGCAAGAAGAGAAAGACAGGAAAAAGCAAGUCCCUUCUCCAUAUUCCUUCUGCCUGCCCAUUCUCUCUAGUGCUCCAUAUUGGCAAAACCUAACAUGAAGGCAGCCAGCAAAAGAUAAUGUGGUUUGCAAUACCAGCCCCAGAAUUACAAAGCAGACAAUGGAAGAGUAGGUUGAGAGAUGGGAGACAAUAGCUGUAGUAACUAGCACAGCAACCUUCUUUAAUUGUGAGUAGCUAUGAUGCGUGCCUCCCCCAAUUUACAAAUAUUACAGUCUACUUAUAGAUGAGUGCAGAAUGAAAAUAUAUUUGUGAAUAGGAUGAUGCUUAUUCAAACAAUCCUUGAAUAUUUGUUGUGUAUAAGAAAAUAUGUUAGUAAAGUUAUUAGUCAUGAUGUGUGUGUGUGUGUGUGUUCUUCAGUAACUUUAAUGGGACAUAUGACACGAAACAUCACUAUGGUUUAUGACCCCAGAAUCUAUCACUCUAACCAUUUUUGUAUGUUUUUAUGUAGUAUAAAUAGCGUCAUGUGUUAUUUUAGGGACAAAUAUACAGUCUAAAAUCAUGUGAAUAAGUGGUAUUUCAGAUCACUGGGGAAAGGGAAGAUCCUUAAGGGGUGCUGGGAUUAUUGAUUAUUGAUCUGGAAAAAAAAUUAGAUCCCUACCUCAUGUCAUAUAUCAGGAUCCAUUCUCAAUAGAUCAAAGACCUAAAUUUGAAAGAUAAAACUUAAAGAUCACAAUUUUGGGGAGAUGACUGGAUUCUGAACAUUUCAAAAGGCCUCUUCCCACUGGCUUCCAACCCUGACUUCCUCAUAUUUCCAGUAAUUGACCCGUGGAAGUGCCCCAGUAACUGACCACAAGGACUUUCCCUUCACUGGCCUCCACGGAUCAUUCUUGACUGAUCCUCAAAAGCCUGCCGAUCCUAGACUACCAGGGACCUCCAUCCCAUUUAUUCCUCAAACCUUCCCAUCUACUGACCUACAGCCAGCCACCCUGAUGGGUGAAUAUAACAGGAAUUUCAAUCCUCAGGCUGGCAAUUGCUGUCCCUUUGUUUUCUCAGUCUCCUCACUGGUGAGCUGGAGAUUGGCACCUGAGCUAACAUCUGUGGUCAACCUUCUUCUUUUGUUUUCUUCUUCUCCCCAAAGCCCCCCAGUGCAUAGUUGUAUAUUGUAGUUGUAGGUCCUUCUGGUUGCGCUAUGUGGGACACCACCUCUGCAUGGCCUGAUGAGCAGUGCCAUGUCUGCCCAGGAUCCGAACUGGCGAAACCCUGAGCCACUGAAGCGGAGUGCAUGAACUUAACCACUUGGCCAUGGGGCUGGCCCGUGAGCUAACAUCUGUGCCAGUCUUCCUCUGCUUUUUGUAUGUGGGACACUGCUGAAGCAUGGCUUGAUGAGCAAUGCGUAGGUCUGCACCUAGGAUCCAAACUCAUGAACCCCAGGCCACUGAAGCGGAGUGCAUGAACUUAACCACUACACCACCAGGCGUCCCUUGUACAUCAGCUUUAAUUAUUAAAGUAAAGAAUGCAUUAAACAUUAUCCCAAAGUAAAGAGUGCACUCUUUGAAGAUGCGGAUGAAUGCCUUCCUUCCUAUCUUGCCAAAACCAGUACUCCUUUGAAGAUCGGUUUCACUUCCCAGACGUCAGGGUCGCGUUGACUUGUUGCAUAUGUGCUAAUCUGUAAUUAAGUGAUUAAGUAAUUUGAAGCGUUGAGAAAUAUGUAUCUUUGACAUGUUUGAUGUAUAUUCUUUGUUCUGGAAAGAUAUAAAAACUAUG
RNAcentral lists this long non-coding RNA (4208 nucleotides) under Equus asinus (donkey). Its description in RNAcentral is "lncRNA (ENSEASG00005026616.1)". Lineage: Eukaryota; Metazoa; Chordata; Mammalia; Perissodactyla; Equidae. The record is from RNAcentral.